Sorex fumeus (smoky shrew) is the source of this 103-nucleotide small nuclear RNA. Lineage: Eukaryota; Metazoa; Chordata; Mammalia; Eulipotyphla; Soricidae. The record is from RefSeq and is a predicted model, not a curated record.
GUGCUCGCUUCGGCAGUACAUGUACUAAGAUUAGAAUGAUACAGAGAAGAUUAGCAUCCUGCGCAAGGAUAACACGCAAAUUCGUGAAGCGUUCCAUAUGUUU